Molecule: small RNA, 996 nt
Filed under: uncultured bacterium
Lineage: Bacteria
Description: bacterial SSU rRNA
Rfam family: Bacterial small subunit ribosomal RNA (bases 1-366)
Source: RNAcentral
GAAGGUGUGGAUGACGUCAAGUCAUCAUGCCCCUUACACCCUGGGCUACACACGUACUACAAUGCUACGGACAAAGGGCAGCAAACUCGCGAGAGCUAGCAAAUCCCAUAAACCGUGGCUCAGUUCAGAUCGUAGGCUGCAACUCGCCUACGUGAAGUAGGAAUCGCUAGUAAUCGCAGGUCAGCAUACUGCGGUGAAUACGUUCCCGGGCCUUGUACACACCGCCCGUCACACCAUGGAAGUUGGCCAUGCCCGAAGUCGUUACUCCAACCCUUGUGGAGGAGGACGCCGAAGGUGGGGCUAAUGACUGGGGUGAAGUCGUAACAAGGUAGCCGUACCGGAAGGUGCGGCUGGAUCACCUCCUAACAGGGAGACAACAAAAUGUUUAAUAUUAUUAUUUUGUCACCUUAGGUCGAUCGGUAUCUCACGUUCUUAAUUUAUUAAGAAUUUCAUUUCCUAAGUUUUUCUAGGUCACACCCAUUAUUUUUCCUGGGCCAUUAGCUCAGGUGGUUAGAGCGCACCCCUGAUAAGGGUGAGGUCCCUGGUUCAAGUCCAGGAUGGCCCAUAUCUCUAUGUUGGGGGUAUAGCUCAGUUGGUAGAGCGCCUGCUUUGCAAGCAGGAUGUCAGCGGUUCGAGUCCGCUUACCUCCACUGAUUACCACCUCUUCCAUAAUUUGUAGAAAGGAAAUUUCUUGAGUUGUGAUCAUAAUUCUGAACGAAUCUAGCUUCCUAAUGAAAUCAUUAAGAUGCUGGACUCAUUGAAUUAAAUUCAUUGUUUUCAGAGAACCUUGACAACUGCAUAGAUUAUUUUUAAAGACAAUAAGCAUUUUUAAUAAUGCAGAUUUAUUAUUUGUGCAAAUGCAUUAAUAACAAUUCUAUUAAGCUGAUGCUUCAAUUUUGAAGUUAUUGGUCAAGCUACAAAGGGCUCACGGAGGAUACCUAGGCACACAGAGGCGAUGAAGGACGUGGUUACCUGCGAUAAGUCUCGGGGAGUGGA